Callithrix jacchus (white-tufted-ear marmoset) is the source of this 117-nucleotide unclassified non-coding RNA. It matches the Rfam family "Metazoan signal recognition particle RNA". Rfam says of the family: The signal recognition particle (SRP) is a universally conserved ribonucleoprotein. It is involved in the co-translational targeting of proteins to membranes. Lineage: Eukaryota; Metazoa; Chordata; Mammalia; Primates; Cebidae. The record is from Ensembl.
GCUGGGUGUGGAGGCUCACACCUGUAAUCCCAACACUUUGGGAGGCUGAGGUGGGUGGAUCACCUGAGGUCAGGAGUUCAAGACUAGCCUGGCCAAUAUGGUGAAACCCUAUCUCUA